This 1492-nucleotide ribosomal RNA is filed under the name Capra hircus (goat). RNAcentral describes it as "bacterial SSU rRNA". It matches the Rfam family "Bacterial small subunit ribosomal RNA". Lineage: Eukaryota; Metazoa; Chordata; Mammalia; Artiodactyla; Bovidae. RNAcentral also lists the same sequence under 1 other name. The record is from RNAcentral.
AGAGUUUGAUCCUGGCUCAGAGUGAACGCUGGCGGCGUGCCUAAUACAUGCAAGUCGAACGGACAAGUAAGAGCUUGCUCUUAUGAGUUAGUGGCGCACGGGUGAGUAAUGUAUAGUUAAUCUGCCCUACACUGGAGGACAACAGUUAGAAAUGACUGCUAAUACUCCAUACUCCUUCUUAACACAAGUUAAGUCGGGAAAGUUUUUUCGGUGUAGGAUGAGACUAUAUUGUAUCAGCUAGUUGGUGAGGUAAUGGCUCACCAAGGCUAUGACGCAUAACUGGUCUGAGAGGAUGAUCAGUCACACUGGAACUGAGACACGGUCCAGACUCCUACGGGAGGCAGCAGUAGGGAAUAUUGCUCAAUGGGGGAAACCCUGAAGCAGCAACGCCGCGUGGAGGAUGACACUUUUCGGAGCGUAAACUCCUUUUGUUAGGGAAGAACAAUGACGGUACCUAACGAAUAAGCACCGGCUAACUCCGUGCCAGCAGCCGCGGUAAUACGGAGGGUGCAAGCGUUACUCGGAAUCACUGGGCGUAAAGGACGCGUAGGCGGAUUAUCAAGUCUUUUGUGAAAUCUAAUGGCUCAACCAUUAAACUGCUUGAGAAACUGAUAAUCUAGAGUGAGGGAGAGGCAGAUGGAAUUGGUGGUGUAGGGGUAAAAUCCGUAGAGAUCACCAGGAAUACCCAUUGCGAAGGCGAUCUGCUGGAACUUAACUGACGCUAAUGCGUGAAAGCGUGGGGAGCAAACAGGAUUAGAUACCCUGGUAGUCCACGCCCUAAACGAUGUAUACUAGUUGUUGCUGUGCUAGUCAUGGCAGUAAUGCACCUAACGGAUUAAGUAUACCGCCUGGGGAGUACGGUCGCAAGAUUAAAACUCAAAGGAAUAGACGGGGACCCGCACAAGCGGUGGAGCAUGUGGUUUAAUUCGAAGAUACGCGAAGAACCUUACCUGGGCUUGAUAUCCUAAGAACCUUGUAGAGAUACGAGGGUGCUAGCUUGCUAGAACUUAGUGACAGGUGCUGCACGGCUGUCGUCAGCUCGUGUCGUGAGAUGUUCGGUUAAGUCCGGCAACGAGCGCAACCCACGUAUUUAGUUGCUAACAGUUCGGCUGAGCACUCUAAAUAUACUGCCUUCGUAAGGAGGAGGAAGGUGUGGACGACGUCAAGUCAUCAUGGCCCUUAUGCCCAGGGCGACACACGUGCUACAAUGGCAUAUACAAUGAGACGCAAUAUCGCGAGAUGGAGCAAAUCUAUAAAAUAUGUCCCAGUUCGGAUUGUUCUCUGCAACUCGAGAGCAUGAAGCCGGAAUCGCUAGUAAUCGUAGAUCAGCCAUGCUACGGUGAAUACGUUCCCGGGUCUUGUACUCACCGCCCGUCACACCAUGGGAGUUGAUUUCACUCGAAGCCGGAAUACUAAACUAGUUACCGUCCACAGUGGAAUCAGCGACUGGGGUGAAGUCGUAACAAGGUAACCGUAGGAGAACCUGCGGUUG